GUCUCGGUUAACAAUGUCCCCUAAAAAUGUCCAUAUUUCAAUCGCCGUAGAGCAAAUGACGAGGUUUCUCUUAAAGCAAGCAAAGCGACCGCCUAAGCAUGCUUUCGAGGCAACUUAAGAUAGGAAAAAAACUCAAGAGUUCAGUGAUCAAACACCAACAGAGCCUCGUGAUAAGUUGCCUGUAAAGAGGAGCAUGAUCCCAUCAGAUGCCUCCGAAGAUAUUGACCUGAGGAACAAUGCUGCAAAGCUAAAUCUCAGUAAGCAAAGUGCUCAAACACCUACAGAGCCUUGUGACAAGUUGCUUGUACACAGAAGAGCCUGAUCCCAUCAGAUGCCUCCGAAGAGAUUGAAAAGAACUGUUUACGGACAUUUUCAGAACUGUUUUAGAACAUUUGUUCCAGACUUAUUUGAAGCAACCCUUCGAAACUGUUCUAAACAUUUCUAGAAUUGUACUGGAACACACCGGCUAGAACUGUUCUGUAAUCAUACUGAAAAUGUUCUAGAAUUAUUCUGGAACAGUUGUUGAACGUUAAAUGAGAAAAAAUUUCUAGAACAAUUCU
Molecule: long non-coding RNA, 560 nt
Organism: Dreissena polymorpha
Lineage: Eukaryota; Metazoa; Mollusca; Bivalvia; Myida; Dreissenidae
Exons: 4
Source: RefSeq, a predicted model, not a curated record